GACGAACGCUGGCGGCGUGCUUAACACAUGCAAGUCGAACGGUAAGGCCCCUUCGGGGGUACACGAGUGGCGAACGGGUGAGUAACACGUGAGCAACCUGCCCUUGACUCUGGAAUAACAGUUGGAAACAGCUGCUAAUACUGGAUAUUCAUCGUCUCCUUCCUGGGGGGUGGUGGAAAGCUCCGGCGGUCAGGGAUGGGCGCGCGGCCUAUCAGCUUGUUGGUGAGGUAAUGGCUCACCAAGGCUUCGACGGGUAGCCGGCCUGAGAGGGCGACCGGCCACACUGGGACUGAGAUACGGCCCAGACUCCUACGGGAGGCAGCAGUGGGGAAUAUUGCACAAUGGGCGCAAGCCUGAUGCAGCAACGCCGCGUGCGGGAUGACGGCCUUCGGGUUGUAAACCGCUUUCAGUAGGGACGAAGGGUGACUGACGGUACCUACAGAAGAAGGACCGGCUAACUACGUG
Molecule: ribosomal RNA, 465 nt
Filed under: uncultured bacterium
Lineage: Bacteria
Description: partial 16S ribosomal RNA
Rfam family: Bacterial small subunit ribosomal RNA
Source: RNAcentral